RNAcentral lists this ribosomal RNA (254 nucleotides) under uncultured bacterium. Its description in RNAcentral is "partial 16S ribosomal RNA". It matches the Rfam family "Bacterial small subunit ribosomal RNA", at positions 524 to 776 of the family's 1533-position model. The record is from RNAcentral.
UACGUAGGGACCAAGCGUUGUUCGGAUUUACUGGGCGUAAAGGGCGCGUAGGCGGCAAUUCAAGUCAGCUGUGAAAUCUCCGAGCUUAACUCGGAACGGUCAGCUGAUACUGCUUUGCUAGAGUGCAGAAGGGGCAAUCGGAAUUCUUGGUGUAGCGGUGAAAUGCGUAGAUAUCAAGAGGAACACCUGAGGUGAAGACGGGUUGCUGGGCUGACACUGACGCUGAGUGCGCGAAAGCUAGGGUAGCAAACGGG